UAUUAUGAACAACAAACAUGGAGGGUGACGGCGGGCCACAUGCGUUGUACGUUGCAAUGCAGCCGUUCGUUUUACCUACAGUCAUCCAUGACCCAGAUGCCCAGGAAGAUGAGGAAGACGAGACGGGGAUGUCGGACGAGGAGGGUGUGAGAAUGGAGGAGGGGCAGGAGGAGGAAGGGUUUGACUAUGCAGACCCCAACUUUGAGGACUCUGCUGCAUACAGAUACGAUGAUGAGCACAAUAAACCUGUUGACCUUGAUAACUCGGAUGAGGCGUUGCUUGGUGAGAGUGUGGGAUACAUGGACGACAUACCCGCUGGUGAUCUGGAACAGCAGAAUAUUUACAUAGAUGACCACGCUUACGCUGACGUUGAUGACGCAAGGGAAUCAACAACCAGUGAUGUUGUGUUCAUUCAACCACCCCCUGUACAGAUCAGGGGAGACCACACUUACGACAUAUCCCCAAUGCUGCAUGACAAAAAUCUACCGGAGGGAUGGAGUCGGCGUGUGGUGCAGCGACUCAAUGGCAAAUCAGCUGGGAAAUAUGACGUGUACCUUUACAGCCCAUCUGGAAAGAAGAUGAGAUCCAAAACAGAGCUGGCUACGUAUGUGGCGGAGAAGCAGUUGGAACUGGAUGUGGAGGCUUUCGACUUCACGGUACGAGGAAAGCACCACAGUACCAACCAGGGUAGUGUCACGAGGAAAGGCCAGAGGAAAAACAAGGCAGAGAAAAGGGAAAUCAUGAAAUCUCCCAGUGUAAGAUCUCCAGUAAAGACAAAAAUGACACCAAAAUCCUCCACAAAAUCACUAAAAGCAUUGUCAAAACCCCCAAGCAAAGCCAGUAAAACAAAGACAUUAAAAACUGGUAAAUCACAGAAAUCGGACAAACUAGAGAUAAAACAGACAACUAGUGGAAAAGUGAAGGUUUCUCCAAAACUCAGCCGUAAACGGUCUCGAUCUAUGACUAAAAAUGUUUCACCGAAAGAAGAGACAAAAAUACAGCUAAGUAAAACAUCACAACAGUCUGGUAAACGUAAAAACAUUUCACCCAAGAAAACACUGGCACAGAAACUGGUAAUAAAAAUGGCAUUUGGUCCCGGUGUGAAAAGGAAAGGUGACGCAGAGGAGGAAGGUCCUGCAAAGAAACAGAAAAAGAAAGGGAAAGGGAGAGGACGUGGUCCCAAAACAAAAGUGGUGGACGAUAAUGAGGAGGAUUCUGUGACGGAGAAUGGGGGGAAAUUACGUAUUGGGGAUAGUGAUGACAUAAGUAAACUGGAUACGUUCAAUGAAAAAUUAGACUCUCCAACAAUGGACGAUGAGUAUAAUGAUUCGUUCCCAGAUGAGAACAUGAACUCACAACUGUCGCCAAGGUUAAAUCCACACACGAUGGUGCACUCAAACGUUACUCAAUCAAUGUCUAAAGAUUUAACCAAAAAAGAGGUGAGUAAGAAGAAGCCAAAAUCCCAUGGUGAUAAUAUCUUUGACUUGUUUCAAAAUGUUGGUAUGGACAGUAACAAUGUGUGUGACAGCAGUGCCGAGGAGUCAGAAAUCGUGCCAGUGACAUCUGAACCAGUCAAAGUCGAUCCAGCUAAAGUGGCAACAGAACGACGACCUUCACGGCAGCGAAUGCGCAGUAAAAGAUACAGUGCUGACAUCUAUAGUGUUGAUGAACCAAAAGUGCAACGCAACUCAUCGCGAAGACAGUCGUCAACCUUGUCUCCCUCUGUGGCAAAGACUGCGAAACUCAGUACUGAUUUAGACGGUACAGCAGUGUUGGGGGGUUCUGUCAUUAAUGUGGCACCCAGCAGUGUCCAGCUUCCCGGUGGUAUCGCCCUGAGUGACAGUAUGGUCAGUGGUGCUACAGCGCCUGGUUUGGUCAGUGCUGAUAUGGUCAGUGGUGGGGUCAUGGCAGGGGAACUGGUCAGUGGUGUUUAUGUUAUGGCUAGUGUUGUUACGGCCAAUCCUGAUGGAAUAGACAUGUCCCAGGUCGUGACCCCUGCAUACACAUACUGUCUAACAAAUCCUGAGGGAACGAACUUGUACGCCACAUCAGAUAAUGUUGAGGCUAACCCUUCAGUGUCCGCCGAUGAUGCUAUUCAAGAUGAAAUAGAUACAAAAGACAAUGAAAGUAAAGUUGAUACUAAUACUAACGCUGAUACAACUCCAGAAAUUUCCGAGAACAUUUCUGAUGAAGUAGAAGAAAGAAGUUUGUGUCCUUCAAAAUCAUCCCCUAUCAAACCACCUAUUAGGAGUUCACCUGUUAAAUCUUCACCUUUCAAAAGCUCACCUGUAAAAAUCACUUCUGCAAAAUAUUCACCUGUAAAAAUGUCCUCAAAGACUAACAACAAAUCCAAUGUGGCAUCAGGAGAUACCAAAGGGAAGUUCUGUGCUUCUGCUGUUGAAAAUUUGGACGAUUUAUUUACAUUUAUUAAGAAUGUUCCAGCAUCGCCACGGCAUCAGAGGAGAGCCAGUAACGAGGAAGGUCCCAAGUUUUCACCACUUUUAUCUAGUCCUGAAAGGUCAAGGUCACGGAGUGUGUCCUUGUCAGCUACAUCCCCUCAGCUUGCCAGUGAAGAAAUUAGUCAUGUGGAAGAUAUCCCAUCUGACUCCGAAGAGGCAGAAUUUACACCCACAAGACGGUUGUCAGCCGAGACAGAGAGUAAAUACUUUGCCCAUGGGAAGUUUCUUCCUCGCCCUGAACUCCAUAGGGAUACAACUUGGGUCCCUCCAAAGUCUCCUUUCUGCCUGAUACAGGAAAGUCUGUACCACGACCCCUGGAAGCUCCUCAUAGGGACCAUUUUCCUGAAUAGGACCACAGGCAAGGCAGCUAUCCCUCUUCUAUGGAAAUUUUUCAACAAAUGGCCGAACCCAGACGCAGCGAGGAAAGCAGACGCUGCAGCCAUUGCCAAACUUCUUACUCCACUUGGUCUGCAUGAAAAACGAGCAAAGAUCAUCAUCAGGUUUUCUGAUGAGUAUCUCACUAAGGACUGGAGCUAUCCCGAGGAACUUCAUGGAAUUGGGAAAUAUGGAAACGAUUCCUAUCGGAUGUUUUGUGUCAAUGAAUGGAAAAGGGUUGAUCCAAAGGACCACAAGCUGAAUGACUAUCACACCUGGUUAUGGGGGAACCAUAAGCAGCUUGGCAUUGACUGAAGAGGUCUAACGGGACAGGGGAAUUUUUUAAUAGAGCAUUUGAGUUCUUAGAGGCAACAGAUCAGACCACUCCUCAUCAUAGAGCUUAAACUUGAGUUACUCUUGCUUACGUUCUCUGCACCCCUGAAAUAUGUCAUGAUGAAAUCAAAGGCUCUGUAAGCACCACCUGGUGGAGGAUACAAGAAGAUUAGUUAUAUCCUUUGAUGUACAUCAAAAGAAUGGUGCAGCAUGGCAGCAUAACAGUCAAAUUAACCAGCUUUGAAGUUGGAUGUUAAGUCUGUAUUCUUCAAAGGAGAUAUCAGCCUAGAGAUUGGUCAGGGUUUUGUUUUUACCUGAAAUCAAUCAAAUAGCUACCUGUGUGCCUUCAAUUUUUCCAUGGUAUAUCCCAGUGGUGCAGAACUCAUGCAGUGAACAUAAGUGCGUAGAACCCCUGGAUUCCAAGGAUGGAAAACUCAUUAGGAUACGAUUUAUGUGGAUCUAUUAGUGAUUAUUGCUUUGUAAACAAAUUUAUCAUUCUGAAAUUAUGAUUAUUUGUUUUAAACCUGUUAAAAUGUCUCUCACAGGACAGGUUUCAUAACGUUACAUUAGUUGAUAUUUCAAUCAACUGGAUCAAGUUUUUAGAAAGUAAUAAAAUCUUUUAGCUGAAUGUCAUGUAAAGGACAUGCAUGUUUAAAGUGAUAAUUAUUUCAUAAAUGCAAAACUGUGCUAAGCAAACUUCUGACAUUUGGCUUCUUUACAUGUAGGAAAUUGAUUUUUUUUUAAAACUGCUCUGACUGUGGAUAUGGACCUGGUUGAUUGAAUAGACUGUUAAAAGUGAAACAUGAAAAUGCAAGCUCGACCAAACCCAUUUGUUCAAGGAGUGAGAAGCAUAUCAAGUAGUUAACACAUCUAAUGCCAGGAUUUGUUUAAUAAAUUAACAUUACAAUCUCAAUCUGUACAUGUAUAUAAAAAUCAAAAUGUUUUCUUAAAAUCAUAUGUUUAGAAGUUUUUCAAAAUCCUGUUCGUGUAUAAGAUUGCUUUUUAGACGUUUUACUGGAAAAUUGAAUUCAUAAAAAAAACGUAUUUACAAAUUUGAAUAUUUUGUAACAAUAAAUGGAAAUACUGAAAUAAAUGUUAAGACUGAAUACAAUAUAAAUAUUUGUAAAUUCCAAUCACGUGCCCACAAUGGUAAUUCAUUAGUGUAAGGGAGACAACUGUUCUUAUCAUAUUUUUUGGAGUUUCAUUGGAGUAAAUUAUAUGACAAUUGACUUUUUUUAGGGAGAGUAGAAUAAAAGUUUUUGGCAUUACAAAUACAACCUGAGAGAUUUCCAUCACUUUUACUGAAGUAUAAAAUAUUCAUAAUUAAUAAUAAAUACCAUUUGAAGUCAAUUUUGAACUUUUACAAUCGAGUGAUGAUUAUAUUUACAUCGUUGAAUGUAAGCAAAUAUAAUAUCCACAUCAGACACAGUGUGAAUGUCCUGUUUUUAAAAUGAUAAUAAUUUAAUGAAGAUUAGUUAUAGAAUAAACCACCUUUGUUGCCAUAUGUAUGUUUGUUCCUUUAUUAUAUUAAUUUUGUUCCUAAUGAACAAAAAAAUCUGAUCAGUGUUACGAUGUAGAUGUCUUUGUCCGUCCAUGUCUAUAGUGUGCAAUUCUUGAUUUGUUAAUUUAAUGAAUUUAAUAUUCAAACAAUUCAUGGAGUAGUUUUAAACAAUACUUUUCAAAAUUUCUUCAAGAAACUAGUGUUUCUUUGACUUAAAAUCAUCAUUGUGAACUUAUGUUAAUUAUAGAUUUAGAAUAUUUUUCAAAAUACCUUAAAGUUUUGUUUAUGUUAUUUUGAGUUAGAUUUCGAGUGACUAACCACACCAUUUACUUGAACUUGUGGUUAUUCAUUCAUUUUUAAAAAGUUAAUUUUUGGCAUCAUGAAAUGUUCAGUUAAUAUAUUUGAAAAGUAGUUUUCUUAAUUUCAAAAUCAUUUCUAUUUCUUCCGAUUUCUCAUGGCUUUUACUUUCAAUGAAUACUGAAGUCUGAGCAAUAAUGGAAGGUUUUAAAACUUUUUUGUUUUGAUUUAUGAAAAUAUUUUAUUUCACAUUUUAUUUGUAAAAAAUUCUACAUAAUU
Mizuhopecten yessoensis (Yesso scallop) is the source of this 5244-nucleotide RNA transcript. RefSeq lists it as uncharacterized. The record is from RefSeq and is a predicted model, not a curated record. NCBI's taxonomy places the organism in Eukaryota, Metazoa, Mollusca, Bivalvia, Pectinida, Pectinidae. The transcript is spliced from 10 exons.